RNAcentral lists this ribosomal RNA (468 nucleotides) under uncultured bacterium. RNAcentral's name for it is "partial 16S ribosomal RNA". It matches the Rfam family "Bacterial small subunit ribosomal RNA", at positions 28 to 507 of the family's 1533-position model. The record is from RNAcentral.
GACGAACGCUGGCGGCGUGCUUAACACAUGCAAGUCGAACGGAAAGGCCCUGCUUUUGUGGGGUGCUCGAGUGGCGAACGGGUGAGUAACACGUGAGUAACCUGCCCUUGACUUUGGGAUAACUUCAGGAAACUGGGGCUAAUACCGGAUAGGAGCUCCUGCUGCAUGGUGGGGGUUGGAAAGUUUCGGCGGUUGGGGAUGGACUCGCGGCUUAUCAGCUUGUUGGUGGGGUAGUGGCUUACCAAGGCUUUGACGGGUAGCCGGCCUGAGAGGGUGACCGGUCACAUUGGGACUGAGAUACGGCCCAGACUCCUACGGGAGGCAGCAGUGGGGAAUAUUGCACAGUGGGCGGAAGCCUGAUGCAGCAACGCCGCGUGCGGGAUGACGGCCUUCGGGUUGUAAACCGCUUUCGCCUGUGACGAAGCGUGAGUGACGGUAAUGGGUAAAGAAGCACCGGCUAACUACGUG